Molecule: unclassified non-coding RNA, 2163 nt
Filed under: Hevea brasiliensis (rubber tree)
Lineage: Eukaryota; Viridiplantae; Streptophyta; Magnoliopsida; Malpighiales; Euphorbiaceae
Source: RNAcentral
AAAAAAAAAAAAAAAAAGGCAUCAUACAGUAGCAUGCUCCUACAUCUCCGAAGGACCUUGCCAUUGGACCAAGGCUCACCCUCCAGAACCAAUGCAGUGAGUAAAGGGAACGAAGGGCGACUCCACCUCCGCACAUAAACCCAAAUCUCCAAACAGUACUUGAUAAGUAGUUUUAGUACAAAUAAAAGAAACUGUAACAUUGAUUAAAACCAAUAUGCAUCAUAACCACAAGGCAAUAUGUCAAAAUAAAAAUCUAGUAAACCACAUAUUUAUUGCCCAGGAAGAGAAAAUUAACACACCAGAAGCGCCAUGAAAUUUUUCCUUGGACGACUUCUUCGAACUCGAGAAACACAUGGAAUCUGAAUCCCAGAUCCUCCAAGGGAAUCCAACCUUGUGACAACAGUUCUCCCAUCUGAAGAGACAUUUCUAACAGGCCUAAAAUGAAAUUUUGAGGACAUCUGUCCAAAUGCAGAACUUUUUACCGUAGUCCUUAACUUUCCACUAGACUCUUUGGACUCUACUUCUGAAAGUUCUUCAAUGUACCGCCUCGUAGGCUUCCGAACUCGUUUGGCAGCUCUCUGUUCUGUGUGAUGAUCUUCACUUCCAGAAUUGUCACCUGUGCUACGAUUUCUCUUGUCAGAAACAACUUGAUCUUCCAGUUGGCUACCAUGGCUAAUUGGAGCCCCUUGCUGACUGCAAUUUAUUGUUGUUCCUACUGCUAGAUUAUAGGCUAAGGCACCAUCUACAUUAUCACAACCAUCUUCUUUGCCUUUCUUAACUAAUUUGUUAUCUUUAAUUAUGAAAGUUGUUGCUGAAACAUCACAAGAAUUAGUUAAUCCCAUGGUGAUUCUUCUCUUAAGCCAUUGCUUGUCCUUGACAGUAGUUUCUCGCCCAAAUGUUGCUUUAAAAGUUUCAUGAAGUUCUUUAAUUGACAAAUUGUCCAAGCAUAUUUCCCCGUUUAACUUGGAAAAAUCAGGUUUUGAAGUAGUAACAGUGGUAGAAGGCAAAGCUCCACCUUCUGUCAGUACUGGAGUAUUUGAGCACUCAUCAAUGCUCCCAGAUUGAUGCAAAUGGCUGUCAAUCAAACUUGGUGUGAAGGAAGGGACAGUUUCCUGCAAUGGAAUUUCAGAUUGGAGGUUCUCAUCAAUACCAGGCAAUUUAUCAAGCUGAUCAGAACACUGGCUGUCUACAAUGACAUAAGCAGAAGAAUAAUCACGAGAUCCACAUGCUAAACGGAGCCUCUCUUCCUCUUUCACCUUUUGCAACAUCUCCUCGAUGUACUACAAGAGAUUUUAAAGGCCGAGAUGGAUCCAAGACAAUCAGUUGUUCAAUUAAUACUUCGAUAAGCUACAAUCAAUUAUGUGUUUGAAAAUCUAUAUGAAAAUGGACAAGCAGAAAACAGCCUAAAAAAAACAAGGGUAAAAAUGGGGGAAAUCAAAUAUGCAAAUAAAUAGGGUAAGAAACUAAAUCGUUGACACUUCUACAUAGAAUAAUCUAUGAAAAUUGCUAUCAUAGUAUAAUCCACCUACUGAUGAGUGGUGGCCUUUAAUGAAAUACAAUAGGUUACUUGCCCAAAAAUGAUAAAUAUGAAGAAUGCAAAUAAGCCAACAACUUAUAAGGGAAAAGGGCUAAAAAAGAGAUGUUAUAGUUAUGUAAUAUUUCAAGUAUAUUGCUCAACAUUUACGUUAAUAAUCCCAUGGCGAAAAAAAUAUAUUUACUUCCUAGAGUUCCUAAAAACCAAAUACAAGGGAGAAAUAGAAUUAUAAGUCAACAUCUGAUGUCUACACAUUACUAUGUAUUGCAAUGCACUUCCAUCAACGCCAAGGUAAAAUGGAUUCAGUGCCAAACAGUACUAUGCUGGUGGAAGUGUAAGAAGAAAAGCAACUUGAAGAGCACAUGAAACCAAUGUUGUUAAAGGGGCUUUGAGGCGCUGGGUGAGGCACCAGGUGAGAUGAGGUGACCCUCUAGCGCCUUACCUGGCUCCGCCAGGCCAGGGUUGUGUGAGGCGACAGCUGGGAGAAAAAGGCACAGGGUGUGAGGCGAGGGACGUGACGCCUCUGUUACAUAACGUUUAUUUUUUAAUUUUUAUUCCUUUAAACAGCAAAAGAGUUAAAAACCCUAAGAGGAGGCUCUCAUUUCACGCCAGUGAUGCCACAGCUGCUU